This is a small nuclear RNA of Rhinopithecus bieti (black snub-nosed monkey), 107 nucleotides long. Lineage: Eukaryota; Metazoa; Chordata; Mammalia; Primates; Cercopithecidae. The record is from Ensembl.
GUGCUAAUUUCAGCAGCACAUAUACUAAAAUUGGAAUGAUGCAGAGAAGAUCAGCAUGUCCCCUGCAUAAGGAUGACAUGCAAUUUCAUGAAGUGUUUCAUAUUUUA